Paramuricea clavata is the source of this 987-nucleotide non-coding RNA. The record is from the annotation of a GenBank genome assembly. NCBI's taxonomy places the organism in Eukaryota, Metazoa, Cnidaria, Anthozoa, Malacalcyonacea, Plexauridae.
GUACUUUUAUUUUUCAAGACGCUGUAUAAACUCGACCACGUACCAAAAAUUUCGAAUCAAUAGGAUUAAUUCCUCGUACUCAGGGUUCUCUUUGUGCUAGAGAACCUUGGGUGAACACUCGUAAUAAUAUAUAAACAACAUAUAAAACUUUCAGUAUUAUAUAGGUAAAUGAAAUUCCUGGAAAUUGGACGAAAACCUGCAUAAGGCCCAUUGCACCACAAUGAAACUAUUUACAUCGGUUCAUAGACCCAACAUGGGUUUAUUAUUAUUGCAUUUAAAUAACAUACAAGUCUCUUUGUGCAACAGAACGUCAACUAAACAAGUUACAAUAAACACCUCUUUCACGUAACGAAGUUGGUGAGUUGCUUUUCCUGUCUUAGAAUUUAGACUUCGUUUCCACGAAUUUACUCUCUCUGGGACCCUGGCAAAGAACUUAGACAUGUUUUGUCGAGUUUUAGUUUUUCAUUUCGGGGCUUUCUUCAGUGACAAUGUUCAGUGAGAGGGCGAUAAUGCCGUUAUGACAUUAUUAUUCUCAAGAACGUGUGAAGGCCACGGCUCGAAAAUGAUUAUGUUGAUUAAUAUUGGCUGAUGUUUCAAACGCUAACGCCCUGGUAGCACAGAGCUUCGUCUGUUAAAACUACAAAGUUUGUAUUCUUCUAUACCACAACACGAAGUCAGCUUGUGGCCGUCUGUGCAUCCAACAAAAUGUAAAUUUAACAGUGCGUGCAAAGUCGUGCUUUUAUUAACAAAUUUGAAACAGUAAAAGUGGAAUCCGCUUAGCAGCGAUCCAAGCGAUCCUUGAACGUAACCGUCUUUUUCUUCUUUCCGCUCUUUUUCGCGACAAAAUGGCCGCGGUGGAAAUGGACGUCGACAAUUUUCGUGUUCUUGAAGUCAUCCAUGUGAAGAAUAUCUGGCGAGUCCGUGCCGAGGGAAUGCCGAUAGAUCUCGAUCUUGGGCAACUGCGCUUGCUUGAACAUAAAUAGACCU